Molecule: long non-coding RNA, 5085 nt
Organism: Protopterus annectens (West African lungfish)
Lineage: Eukaryota; Metazoa; Chordata; Ceratodontiformes; Protopteridae
Exons: 2
Source: RefSeq, a predicted model, not a curated record
GUUUGCUCGGCUUUUGCUGCAGAAGCAGCCAGCAGGUUUACUAUCCUUAAAUCAAAACUCUUCUACACAGAACGAAUUUGGUUCUUAACCAUUUCAUCAGAGGGGAAUUAAUUUAGUUAAUGGAGAUGAAUGGCACCUGAUAAGCCAGGAUGUGAAUGUAAACAGUAAUGGGAACACUAUAGUGAACGGCGAGAUCAUUCUCAAGGAAUGGCUGAAUUCAAACUUCUCCUUUGGGCACACGGCACACGGACUCUAAUAUGGCUGUUCGCAGGAGAGCUGGAGUCCAUCCUUGCACCCGUCAGGUGGAAAGCAAAGAACAUAAUCCUGGAUAGAACACCAGAGCAUCAAAGGGUAUGCACACCCACUCAUGUUUCAGGCAUACAUACAACAGCUAUGCCUAUAGCUUGCCUUUCGGAUGUAAGAGGAAAUUGGAUCAUCCAACCUAAUCCAUGAGGACAGAGGGGAACUCAAAGAUAUCUCAUAUAAGGCUUCCAAGGUGGGAAUAGAACUGCAAAACCAAGCACUAUAUCACUGGCACUGACCUAUGCAACUGCUUAUUUUUUCUGGAAAACUACAACCGAAGGGAAGAAACAAGAGAGGAAGCAAGUGGCAUCACAGUAGAUAAAAAAUCUGAAGCACACAUGCAACCUGUAUGCAAGAAGACAUCUAGAAUGCUACACUGUGUAUUGAAAUACAUAACACAGACACAGAGUCCUACUAACAAUGGCCUUUAAUUCUGAACUGCAGAGUCAUUUCAAAUAUAUGUUUAAUUUGGAAUUCAUAAAAAAGAGACCUAAAUAACAUACAUGCAGUUUAAAAGUACUUUCUGUCCUUAAAGCCACACAGAGAAUGUAAUAACAUAAUCGUGUAACUAUGCCUUGUAAGAGAGCCAGUGUCUAGAUUAACAGUGGGAUAGUGGAUGGAACCGGCUGUAGAAACAACAUGGGUGGUUAGAGUCUACUCAUUCAAAUUUAAUUAGGAAAAUCACAAAGUAUACCAUCCAGAUGUGCAAAUGGAUUUUGCAUCUGUUUUUGCCUGUACUUGUGAGUUACACUGCUCAAAGAUGGUACAUUUUAUUCAAGCUGGGUAUUAAACACACCUAGUAUUAUGGUUUCAUGAACUUAAAAAAUAUAAAAUCUGGUGAUAUCCUGGCAUGGUCCAAACACUUAUUCUAGAACAACUUUCUCUACAGUUUGGGAUAAAACUGGAAGACAUAUGGAUCUUAAACCAUGAGAGGUUAAGGAGAUGUCAAACCUAGGUAUGGGAGUUACCUACUUCUUUUUAUCAGUCCUAUACCCUUCCAUAAUGGUGUAAUGAAGUAAGCAUUCUGUGAUAUAUGUUAUCAGGCUGUGUUCUGUACCAAGGAAAAUGGGAUGAACUGUGUCUACGCUGGGACUCCCAGAUGGUGAUAUUUUCAACAAAAGGGCUUCCUCUCUGGUGGCCUAUGCCGUCCUGAAGUGAAGCAAGACAAUCAUAACCAGUUCUAUAUCUCAGAAGGGCACUUUUCCCAAAGUUAAAGGGAGGCAAUCAUAGCUAGCUUUGUGUCCCAGAAGUGCACUUUUCCCAAAGUUAAAGGGAGCAAUCAUAGCCAGCUUUAUUUCCCAGAAGGGCACUUUUCCAAAAGUUAAAGGGAGCAAUCAUAGCCAGUUUUGUGUCUCAGAAGGGCACUUUUCCAAAAGUUAAAGGGAGGCAAUCAUAGCCAGCUUUGUGUCCCAGAAGGGCACUUUUCCCAAAGUUAAAGGGAGCAAUCAUAGCCACCUUUAUUUCCCAGAAGGGCACUUUUCCCAAAGUUAAAGGGAGCAAUCAUAGCCAGCUUUGUGUCCCAGAAGGGCACUUUUCCCAAAGUUAAAGGGAGGCAAUCAUAGCCAGCUUUGUGUCCCAGAAGGGCACUUUUCCCAAAGUUAAAGGGAGGCAAUCAUAGCCAGCUUUAUUUCCCAGAAGGGCACUUUUCCCAAGUUUAAUCAGGGGAAUCAUAGACAAUAUAGUAUCUUAGAGGGACAUUUUUCAGUUUCUCUUCCAAAGGCUAACAAUCCAUCCAGUAAACUAUGGAAAAGGAAAAAUCAAAAGGCUGAGUACCAGAAGAUAUCCAUUCAUUUAAAUUUAGGAGUUCCACAAACUUAGGAAAGGUACAUUUUCUUUUCCAUACAGGUGUGUGACUCCGGAGUGAGAAUAUUUAAGCUGCAAUGUGUGAAGGCACAACUUCUCAUAUACGGGGAUACAGGGGGAGAGAUUUUUCAUCCACAAUAAUUUUUUGUAUGUUCUGGUUGUGUUUCUGAUAUUGGCUUUUUAAUUACACUCAUUCAAAAGCUUGACUGUUGAUUAUUGACUUUCUGAACCAGAUACCAUUUCUUUUGUAACAAAAGGUGAGGUACAAGAAUUCUGUCUAGUGUAAUUCUGCCGGAAGGUUAGGUUAGUACAGAUCUGUGCUUACUUUUGUGGCACACAUUGCAUCUGCUUCCUCAUACACUCAGGUGACUUAAAAAUCUUUGGAACUGCCUGAGGUUUUUAUGUUUGAGAGCACAACUCCUCAAAUACCAGCCCAGAUAAUUACAGAUCCAUAAGCCUGACCAGUCUCCUCUGUAAGGCUGGAAGGAUUAUUAUGGAAUUAAUAAAUAAGGAUACAGGUAACCUGCUGACUCUUGAUCCAUCCCAGUUCAGACUAAUCAAGGUCAGGUCCUGCCUACUUUACCUGGAUGACAUCUUUAAACAAUUUACUGAAACAAUGAAUGGGAGAAAAACAGAGCAAAUCUAGACCUUGCAAAGGCAUUCAACACAUUUUCACAUUUCCACACUCAGGUAUUAUAGAUUAACUCUCCAAGCUAAAUGUUAAUCCCAGUGUAACUUAUUCUGCAGCAAACUGAUUCAAACAUAGAACACAGAAAAUUAGGGUGGGUGGCUCUAUCUUUUCCAAAAGACCCGUCAUUAGCAGUGUACUCCAGGGGUCAGUCCUUGGGCCACUCUUCUUUGACAUUUAUUUCUCAGAGGUCCAAGUUAAUGUUAAGAGUUUGUGGCUGACCGAGUUUACUGAUGAUUGUAAACAUGGUGCCAUCAUAAACUCCCCAGAGGGCACCAAGAUCUUCCAAGACAGCCUGUUCCAAACAAAUAGCUGGUGUCAAAAACAAUGGACUAAAACUAAAUGCUAAGAAGUGUGUAGUCAUAUCCUUCGGCAAGCAUGAUUCCCCCCUUGUAACUAUCACACAGACAAAUAUCCUUGAAAAUUAAUCUUGUAGUUAGAGAUCUGGGAACUGUCUUUUGAUUGCCAUGAAUCUGUUGUAAGUCAGUCCUUUUUCAUUGCACUCAUUAAGUCAGUCAUUGAGUAUAUUUUGCCUUUCUGUAUGUAUGUGUCCAAAUACUUGUCACAAAUGGAUUGACCUCAACAGUUUCUCACAAAAAAGGCCUAAAUCACAAAACAGACCACUUAUUCUGUUCAAAUUUAAUUUGGAAUAAUGCCAAAAAUUCACCCUUGGUUUGGCACCCCUGUCUCUUGUGGAUAGGGGAAACGUAAAUGUCUUAACACAUCCUUCUUCUCCUCAUCACUGGGUUAUUUAUAUGUAAAAUUAAAGGGCUAGAGACUACCACGGGAAUGUUUGGCAAGGAUUUUUAAUAUCCUCACAGAUCAGUAUGCUAGUUAGUACCUAUGAACCUAAGACCCCAUGAGGUGGGCCUUGUUUGAAGUCUGUGGCAUUACGACAUUAUUAACUGAAGAAAAAAAUGAAACAGUUAUAAUGCUGGUGCUCACUUAAUAUGGAAGUUUAGCAAAUGUAAAAAAAGUAAAUAGAAAGAAAAUAAAUUCAGAUAAGUCAGGUAACAAAAGUAAUUGCAGUACAAUUACAAAGAUUUGUCAUUCCACUAUCCCUUUGAUAAUGUCUAAAGACAUUUUAAAAAAGUUAGAAUGUGUGAGAGAGAUGGAGAGAGGGAGAGUGUGUGUGUGUGUGCAUGUGUGCGUGUGUGCGUGUGUGUAUACUCAGUAGUACAGUCUUAUGCAUUAUUUUUCCACAAUUCAUGCAGUGUAAACCAAAAUGUGGUCACCUCUACUCAAUAAAAUCUGUUUCCCAUCCCUGCCUACUUAUGAAUUAUAUACACAGCAGCACUACUUUUACUGUUACUCUCUAUUGUACAAACACAAGAAAGGAAUUAAACAUUAUUCGCAGGUGACAAGUUAAAAUCAUCUAAUGUUUUACAUUAUUCCUUCAUGCUCAUGGUAAAACCUAGCAAACAUAAUGCCCUCCAUCACACUUGUUUUCACAUCAUCAUAAGGAUCACAAAUGUGCAAUGCAAAAUGUUACAGUUCAAUGUGGUGAAAUCUGUUUGCUGUCCCUGUCUGCAUUACAGUGCAUUGUCACAGCACUUCUACCUUUGAUAUUACUGCCUACUGUGCAAAUACAAUUGUUUCUGUUAUGAGGAAUGAGAAAUACAAGAAAAGCAAAUGUUGUUAUUUAAUUUCUGUCUUUUCUUAUGAGUUUUAUUUUGUCCUCUGAAUGCUGUUGAAGUUGCCUACAAAGACAUUUAAAAAUGCCGUAUUCUGUAUCAUACAUUAUUACUAUGCUGCUUUCCCUUUAAAUAGCGCACCGACCAUUUCCACAGUCACUGUCUGUUUGGUUGCACACAGAACAGCUUUCUGUUAGUGCAGUACCAUUCAUGCAGUCAUUAUUCCCUCCUACUUCCUACUCCAAAACUACCAUUCCCCUCACACCAUUAACACCUAAUGCAAUGUUACUACUGCACUGUAUGUAUCAUUCAGUACUGACAAAUGCUUUUCAAAUUUGCAGAGUUUAUCUGAAUUGUACUUGCAACAUGGUUAUACAUCGUACUCCUCGCAUAUUUCCUUUACCAUGACAAAGCCUGGUUUUGUUCCAUCUGCAUGUGUUCCCAAGUUAGUGGACAUAUUCAUUUUUUAGGUGUUCAUUCAUAUUCUCUGAAUACCAUUUCUGAUGCCAACUAACCCUAGUUGUCUUUGUUCUGUGAUUCUGAAGCUGUUUCAUAACCAGAUUCACUCUGCUAUUUUGUUUAUAUCUACCUGAAGCAUGAUGGAUUUUGACCUUGCAUUGAUGUUACCUUUCUCUCAAUAAAAGUCUUGGUGAAUAA